This 75-nucleotide transfer RNA is filed under the name Methanobrevibacter sp. RNAcentral describes it as "tRNA-Val". It matches the Rfam family "tRNA". From Rfam's summary of the family: Transfer RNA (tRNA) molecules are approximately 80 nucleotides in length. Their secondary structure includes four short double-helical elements and three loops (D, anti-codon, and T loops). Further hydrogen bonds mediate the characteristic L-shaped molecular structure. tRNAs have two regions of fundamental functional importance: the anti-codon, which is responsible for specific mRNA codon recognition, and the 3' end, to which the tRNAs corresponding amino acid is attached (by aminoacyl-tRNA synthetases). tRNAs cope with the degeneracy of the genetic code in two manners: having more than one tRNA (with a specific anti-codon) for a particular amino acid; and 'wobble' base-pairing, i.e. permitting non-standard base-pairing at the 3rd anti-codon position. The record is from RNAcentral. Lineage: Archaea; Methanobacteriati; Methanobacteriota; Methanobacteria; Methanobacteriales; Methanobacteriaceae.
CUCUCCUUCGCCUAGUUGGUUAUGGCACCUGCCUUACAAGCAGGCAAAACCCUGGUUCGAAUCCAGGAGGGGAGA